AUCCCUGUAGUAAUACGUAAGACCCCUUGAAGACGACGAGGUAGAUAGGGCCAAGGUGUAAGUGCAGUAAUGUACUCAGCUGAUGGUUACUAAUAGGUCGAGAGCUUCACUUG
Molecule: ribosomal RNA, 113 nt
Filed under: Lachnospiraceae bacterium
Lineage: Bacteria; Bacillati; Bacillota; Clostridia; Lachnospirales; Lachnospiraceae
Description: partial 23S ribosomal RNA
Rfam family: Bacterial large subunit ribosomal RNA
Source: RNAcentral